UGAGGAAUAUUGGUCAAUGGGCGCAAGCCUGAACCAGCCAUGCCGCGUGCAGGAAGACUGCCCUAUGGGUUGUAAACUGCUUUUAUAUAGGAAGAAAUGUACCUACGUGUAGGUAUUUGACGGUACUAUAAGAAUAAGCACCGGCUAACUCCGUGCCAGCAGCCGCGGUAAUACGGAGGGUGCAAGCGUUAUCCGGAAUCAUUGGGUUUAAAGGGUCCGUAGGCGGGCUAAUAAGUCAGAGGUGAAAUCCCACAGCUUAACUGUGGAACUGCCUUUGAUACUGUUAGUCUUGAGUUGUAUUGAAGUAGAUAGAAUGUGUAGUGUAGCGGUGAAAUGCAUAGAUAUUACACAGAAUACCGAUUGCGAAGGCAGUCUACUAAGUACAUACUGACGCUGAUGGACGAAAGCGUGGGGAGCGAACAGG
Molecule: ribosomal RNA, 424 nt
Filed under: uncultured bacterium
Lineage: Bacteria
Description: bacterial SSU rRNA
Rfam family: Bacterial small subunit ribosomal RNA
Source: RNAcentral